Molecule: ribosomal RNA, 1122 nt
Filed under: Triticum aestivum (bread wheat)
Lineage: Eukaryota; Viridiplantae; Streptophyta; Magnoliopsida; Poales; Poaceae
Description: partial small subunit ribosomal RNA
Source: RNAcentral
AUGACCGGCGGAGGUGGUUCGUCGGCCGGAGCAAAAGACGCCCUCGACUCACUGGAUGUUGGAGGAAGCAGCAGCGAGCCAAAGCCCUUCCUCCAUCGACCUGAUCAUGCGCGGACGCCGGCAUACGAGGAAUACAAUUAUGAUUAUCCGUGCAGUCUAGGCAUAAAUCAUGGUGGUUUCUUUGUUGGCCAAGGUAGCUACAGGAGUUACUGCAAUGGAAAAACUGCUUGGUAUGAUUAUGUGCCGUCUGCGAAACUGACCAUGUCGGAAUUGGAAAGGAUAGUUGAAGAUCUAGGCUAUGAGAUGGCAGGUAGAUUGGAUGUAUAUUGGUGUUUGCUAGGGUUGCAAAUUAAGACUGGUGGUCUUAGGAAAAUGAAUUCCCAGGAAGCUUGUGACAAUAUUAGUGCUUGUGUAGUUUUUGGACAUAAAGAAAUUCAGUUAUUCCUUGACCAUGAUGAGAGCUACAGGAGUAUCGAAUGGGAUGAUGUUGUGGUCUUUCCUAUCAAUGAUUUACCUCAUGUGAUCAGUCCUAGGAAAGUAAAAGAGGACAAAUUUGUAGAGAGAAUGCCUGAACAAAAUAUGGUAGAGGAGCAAGGUGAUGACAAUGCAGAGGAGGCUGGGCAGAACAUGGAAGAGGGGCAAGGUGAUGAGCAAUUCAAUGAGGAAGAAAUUGAGCAGUAUAUGGCAGAUGCUGAGGAAGAGGAUGAGGCUGAUGUGGAAGAGGAACAGGAGGAAGAUGUUGUGGAAGAGGAACAUGAUGAAUAUGCACAGUCAGAUGUAGAUGAUGACAGUCUUUCUCAUGCUGGAAGAGGAGUUAGUGAUUCAGAAAAUGGGGAUGAAAUUGUGGACAGUGAUUAUGCUAUAUCUGAUGGAGAUGUAGAUCUUCUCGAAGAUCAAAUAGAAGAGGUGGUAAUAGAUGUAAAAGGAAAGAAAGCUGCAGAUAUUGGAGCUUGUUCUGAUGAGGAAGAUGUUCAGAUGCCAGAUUCUGAUGAGGAUGAGCUGAAGCACAACUUCAAUACAUUCAGGCCAGAAGAUAUGCAUGAUCCUGUGUUCAAAGUUGGACAGUUAUUCCAGUCACCAGAGAUGUUAAGGAAAGCCAUUAGGGAAUAUUUAAAUUGUUAG